RNAcentral lists this ribosomal RNA (268 nucleotides) under uncultured prokaryote. Its description in RNAcentral is "partial 16S ribosomal RNA". It matches the Rfam family "Bacterial small subunit ribosomal RNA", at positions 509 to 776 of the family's 1533-position model. The record is from RNAcentral.
CAGCCGCCGCGGUAAUACGAAGGGGGCUAGCGUUGCUCGGAAUCACUGGGCGUAAAGCGCACGUAGGCGGCUUUCUAAGUCAGGGGUGAAAUCCUGGAGCUCAACUCCAGAACUGCCUUUGAUACUGGAGAGCUUGAGUUCGGGAGAGGUGAGUGGAACUGCGAGUGUAGAGGUGAAAUUCGUAGAUAUUCGCAAGAACACCAGUGGCGAAGGCGGCUCACUGGCCCGAUACUGACGCUGAGGUGCGAAAGCGUGGGGAGCAAACAGG